CAAGGUAAGCGGGCAAUUGCCUCUUGAAGAACCUUUAUGGAGAAAAGGGGAGGAAAGUCCGGACAUCAUCCCGCCUCGGCGGGAUAAAUAAGUGGGUAACGCCCACCGGAAGUAAUUCCAGGGAAAGUGCCACAGAGACUAUACUAAUCCCGCCACGGCGGGACAAAAGGUGAAAAGUUGCGCGGUGAUUAUGUUAUGUUAGGAUAUCCUCAUAACGUAGUCUGCGCGCUUUCCGCACUGGUGACAGUGACGGACGGUAAACCCUUGUUGAUGCAAGAGCAAACCCCACUGCGCUCUGACUACGUCCGAGCUUCGCGAGACAGAUCCAACUUUAUAGAUGAAGGGGACUCGUCCCGCGUAGCUUUGGCAUAGCCAAAGCGUAGUGGGAGGAACGUAGCUCGCUUGAGUCUGACAGCAAUGUCAGGUCUAGAUAAAUAAUUGCCCCUGCUUCGUUACGUCUUUGACGUAAUUUCGCAAGGCAAGCCCUCAAAAUAAAUAGGGGACUUGUCCCGCGCGCAGCUCUGUAAAACCAGAGCGUAGUGGGACAGAAUCCGGCUUAUAGCUUGCCUUGGUUU
This 575-nucleotide RNase P RNA is filed under the name bacterium. RNAcentral describes it as "RNase P RNA component class A". It matches the Rfam family "Bacterial RNase P class A". From Rfam's summary of the family: Ribonuclease P (RNase P) is a ubiquitous endoribonuclease, found in archaea, bacteria and eukarya as well as chloroplasts and mitochondria. Its best characterised activity is the generation of mature 5'-ends of tRNAs by cleaving the 5'-leader elements of precursor-tRNAs. Cellular RNase Ps are ribonucleoproteins. The record is from RNAcentral.